This is a long non-coding RNA of Magnolia sinica, 1776 nucleotides long. RefSeq lists it as uncharacterized. The record is from RefSeq and is a predicted model, not a curated record. NCBI's taxonomy places the organism in Eukaryota, Viridiplantae, Streptophyta, Magnoliopsida, Magnoliales, Magnoliaceae. The transcript is spliced from 2 exons.
UUCAUUUGAGUUGACAAAAAAACACAAACACCCCUUUUACAAAAACCUCCUUUUGUGAAAUUGCAUCAAACCAACCAGGCGCUUGGACAAUAAGCUGGGGUACCUCUCUGCUCAGUGCUUUUUUGCACGUCACCUCCUACAGACCUUGGGUUGUUUGAUUCUAUCACUGCAGAUGGUCAAAUUCCUCCGUGUACCAUGUCCUUUUGGGAUCCACUGGCUAACACAUGUCAACAUGACUUAGGUGUCCAAUAUCCAAGUUCCUCAUCAAGUAGGCCAACUGCAUAGAUGCAUUGGUUGAAGAUUCAGGCUGGUCCACUUGUUAGGUGGGCCAUGCAUGCAUUGAGUAUGAAUUGGUGGAUGACAUGCAAACAAGCUAUCACUUCCAAUAUUUUCAUAGACAAGAUAUGCUUUAUUUAUUUGGGAGAUAGAACGUCUCGUAAUAAUAGUCUUCAGUAGUUUGGCAAAGGAAGGUGGUAUUGAUACUUAAAUGCCUUCUCUUUUGGUAUGUGUGGUCCAUUUGCUCAGACUGUCUAUUUAUUUAUUUUAUGCCAAUGCAUCUAUGCGGUGGGGCCUACUUGGUAUGCAUCAUAGAUCCCUUGCACAUGUGCCUUUUGGGGACAUGUAAGCCAAGAGUCGUCCUUUAGCAAGUACUCCAAAUGACUAGUCCUGCUAGCCAUGAAUGUAACUGGGUGAAGCCCCGACCGAAACAUAUCCAUGUUGUGCCCCUCCCCAGGAGCUUAGAGACCCCAUGUCCAUACCCAGCCCAGCCAGCUAAGUGGGCUAUACCUGUAUGUUGAAUCAGUUAUCCCUUGAUUUUAAUAGUGUGGCCCACUUGAUGGUAGGAUGAGCAUGAUUUUUGAGCCAGGUGAGAUAUGGCGUUCUAAGCUGAUUUAGGAGAGAAAAGGCCUGAGGCAGAUGGGUUCCAGAUAUUUUCAUAUUCAACACUCAAUAUGGGAUUCAGACGCUUCUUAUUUCACUCUAAGCUCUGUGAAGUUGAUGGAGGCAUGUCUUAGCUGCCAUUGGAAAUGACUUGUUUUGGUGCAGAUUCCUAUACCACAAUUCAUAAACGGGUUGGUUUUUAUCGAAUUUUCCUCAAAUGUUACCACUGACAAGUCGUGGAUUGUACCACAAAUCAAUCUUCCUUCGCAGCCAAUGAUACAAACAAUGUUUCCUUUAUGACAUCCCUAAGCUUUAGAACAGAUUUCCAUCUUGUAGACACUAUAAAGUUGGGUUGGACAAUCCAAAAAGUCCCUUAAAAUAUUUUACAAAAACUCAUUAUUGUUAGGUGGUUGGCUAGAUGAUGAUUAUUUUUCAGGUCUUUGACAACACAAGCAACGUUCCAAUUUUAAUUCCAAGACUACUAACUUUUUUAAGGUCAAUUUAUUCAUAGUGGUACAACAUAUGAGGUAACUUCACAACACAAUGCAAGGAGCUAUCAUCCAGUGAAGGAAUCUCACAAGGAUAGAGAGUGGAAAAUGGAUCAAGAGAAGAUCCCAACAAUCAGCGACACUUAUAUAAGAUCAAUGGCCUCAUUAGAACUAAUGAACUUUAACGUUAGAUGUAUUUUGGAAAUUGUAUUUAUUUCUAGACUGAAUCUUGUUAGUACAAUGAAAGCUUUGCCCUUUCCUUUCUCCAUUUGGAAAUUGUAUCUGUAUUUGCAAAACCAUCUGUCUUGGAUCAGAGCAGUUUCAAGAUUAUCUGUAUUAGCUUUAGAUGGGUUGAUCUAUCAGGGAAUGUACUAGCAAGAGCACCAUAUAUAUAUAUAUAUAUAUAUAU